Molecule: ribosomal RNA, 761 nt
Filed under: uncultured Prevotella sp.
Lineage: Bacteria; Pseudomonadati; Bacteroidota; Bacteroidia; Bacteroidales; Prevotellaceae
Description: bacterial SSU rRNA
Rfam family: Bacterial small subunit ribosomal RNA
Source: RNAcentral
GAUGAACGCUAGCUAUAGGCUUAACACAUGCAAGUCGAGGGGAAACGGCAUUAUGUGCUUGCACAUUUUGGACGUCGACCGGCGCACGGGUGAGUAUCGCGUAUCCAACCUGCCCUUUACUUGGGGAUACCCCGUUGAAAGACGGCCUAAUACCCGAUGUAAUUCAUUGAUGGCAUCAGAUAUGAAUAAAAGAUUUAUCGGUAAAGGAUGGGGAUGCGUCUGAUUAGCUUGUUGGUGAGGUAAUGGCUCACCAAGGCGACGAUCAGUAGGGGUUCUGAGAGGAAGGUCCCCCACAUUGGAACUGAGACACGGUCCAAACUCCUACGGGAGGCAGCAGUGAGGAAUAUUGGUCAAUGGGCGCAAGCCUGAACCAGCCAAGUAGCGUGCAGGAAGACGGCCCUAUGGGUUGUAAACUGCUUUUAUACGAGAAUAAUUUGAUGCACGUGUGCGUUAUUGCAUGUAUCGUAUGAAUAAGGACCGGCUAAUUCCGUGCCAGCAGCCGCGGUAAUACGGAAGGUCCAGGCGUUAUCCGGAUUUAUUGGGUUUAAAGGGAGUGUAGGCGGUUUGUUAAGCGUGUUGUGAAAUUUAGGUGCUCAACAUUUAACUUGCAGCGCGAACUGUCAGACUUGAGUACACGCAACGUAUGCGGAAUUCAUGGUGUAGCGGUGAAAUGCUUAGAUAUCAUGAAGAACUCCGAUUGCGAAGGCAGCAUACGGGAGUGUAACUGACGCUUAAGCUCGAAGGUGCGGGUAUCGAACAGG